GACGAACGCUGGCGGCGUGCUUAACACAUGCAAGUCGAACGGUAAGGCCCUUCGGGGUACACGAGUGGCGAACGGGUGAGUAACACGUGGUGAUCUGCCCUGCACUUCGGGAUAAGCCUGGGAAACUGGGUCUAAUACCGGAUAGGACCAUGGACUUCACGGUUUGUGGUGGAAAGCUUUUGCGGUGUGGGAUGGGCCCGCGGCCUAUCAGCUUGUUGGUGGGGUAAUGGCCUACCAAGGCGACGACGGGUAGCCGGCCUGAGAGGUGUCCGGCCACACUGGGACUGAGAUACGGCCCAGACUCCUACGGGAGCAGCAGUGGGGAAUAUUGCACAAUGGGCGCAAGCCUGAUGCAGCGACGCCGCGUGAGGGAUGACGGCCUU
RNAcentral lists this ribosomal RNA (383 nucleotides) under uncultured bacterium. Its description in RNAcentral is "bacterial SSU rRNA". It matches the Rfam family "Bacterial small subunit ribosomal RNA", at positions 28 to 418 of the family's 1533-position model. The record is from RNAcentral.